CCUGAACGCUGGCAGCGUUGGUUAAGACAUGCAAGUCGCACGGGUGUAGCAAUACAUCAGUGGCGCACGGGUGAGUAAUGUAUAGCUAACGUACCCCUUGGACCAGGAUAGCUACCCGAAAGGGUAGGUAAUACUGGGUAAUAUAACCGGAAGGCAUCUUCUGGUUCUCAUAUGACGCAAGUCGCCUUGGGAUCGGGCUAUAUCGUAUCAGCUAGUUGGUAAGGUAACGGCUUACCAAGGCGACGACGCGUAGCCGGACUGAGAGGUCGGUCGGCCACAUCGGGACUGAGACACUCGCCCGGACUCCGUACGGGGGGCUGCAGUAACGAAUCUUCCCCAAUGUACGAAAGUAUGAGGGAGCGACGCUGCGUGGAGGAUGAAGUCCUUCGGGAUGUAAACUCCUGUCAGGGAUUACCAAGUUCUGAGGAAUCCCAGAGGAAGAGGCGGCUAACUCUGUG
Molecule: ribosomal RNA, 458 nt
Filed under: uncultured bacterium
Lineage: Bacteria
Description: bacterial SSU rRNA
Rfam family: Bacterial small subunit ribosomal RNA
Source: RNAcentral